GCUUACGGCCAUAUCAGCCUGGGUACGCCCGAUCUCGUCUGAUCUCGGAAGCUAAGCAUGGUCGGGCCUGGUUAGUACUUGGAUGGGAGACCGCCUGGGAAUACCAGGUGCUGUAAGCA
This 119-nucleotide ribosomal RNA is filed under the name Salmo salar (Atlantic salmon). Lineage: Eukaryota; Metazoa; Chordata; Actinopteri; Salmoniformes; Salmonidae. The record is from RNAcentral.